UACGAGAGGCCCAAACGUUAUUCGGAUUUACUGGGCUUAAAGAGUUCGUAGGCGGCGCGGAAAGUAGGGCGUGAAAGCCCUCGGCUCAACCGAGGAAUUGCGCUCUAAACUACCGUGCUUGAGGAACCUAGAGGUGAGCAGAACUGAUGGUGGAGCGGUGAAAUGCGUUGAUAUCAUCAGGAAUACCGGAGGCGAAGGCGGCUCACUGGGGGUUAUCUGACGCUGAGGAACGAAAGCCAGGGGAGCAAACGGG
RNAcentral lists this ribosomal RNA (253 nucleotides) under uncultured bacterium. Its description in RNAcentral is "partial 16S ribosomal RNA". It matches the Rfam family "Bacterial small subunit ribosomal RNA", at positions 524 to 776 of the family's 1533-position model. The record is from RNAcentral.